This 258-nucleotide ribosomal RNA is filed under the name uncultured bacterium. RNAcentral's name for it is "partial 16S ribosomal RNA". It matches the Rfam family "Bacterial small subunit ribosomal RNA", at positions 100 to 353 of the family's 1533-position model. The record is from RNAcentral.
GAACGGGUGAGUAACGCGUGAGGAACCUGCCUCAAAGAGGGGGACGAACAGUUGGAAACGACUGCUAAUACCGCAUAAGCCCACGGCUCGGCAUCGAGCAGAGGGAAAAGGAGUGAUCCGCUUUGAGAUGGCCUCGCGUCCGAUUAGCUAGUUGGUGAGGUAAUGGCCCACCAAGGCAACGAUCGGUAGCCGGACUGAGAGGUUGAACGGCCACAUUGGGACUGAGACACGGCCCAGACUCCUACGGGAGGCAGCAUG